Molecule: ribosomal RNA, 465 nt
Filed under: Vreelandella stevensii
Lineage: Bacteria; Pseudomonadati; Pseudomonadota; Gammaproteobacteria; Oceanospirillales; Halomonadaceae
Description: partial 16S ribosomal RNA
Rfam family: Bacterial small subunit ribosomal RNA
Source: RNAcentral
CCUAAGGGGGGCAGCAGUGGGGAAUAUUGGACAAUGGGGGCAACCCUGAUCCAGCCAUGCCGCGUGUGUGAAGAAGGCCCUCGGGUUGUAAAGCACUUUCAGUGAGGAAGAACGCCUGGUGGUUAAUACCCAUCAGGAAAGACAUCACUCACAGAAGAAGCACCGGCUAACUCCGUGCCAGCAGCCGCGGUAAUACGGAGGGUGCGAGCGUUAAUCGGAAUUACUGGGCGUAAAGCGCGCGUAGGUGGCUUGAUAAGCCGGUUGUGAAAGCCCCGGGCUCAACCUGGGAACGGCAUCCGGAACUGUCAAGCUAGAGUGCAGGAGAGGAAGGUAGAAUUCCCGGUGUAGCGGUGAAAUGCGUAGAGAUCGGGAGGAAUACCAGUGGCGAAGGCGGCCUUCUGGACUGACACUGACACUGAGGUGCGAAAGCGUGGGUAGCAAACAGGAUUAGAUACCCGGGUAGUC